Sarcophilus harrisii (Tasmanian devil) is the source of this 1960-nucleotide long non-coding RNA. RefSeq lists it as uncharacterized. NCBI's taxonomy places the organism in Eukaryota, Metazoa, Chordata, Mammalia, Dasyuromorphia, Dasyuridae. The transcript is spliced from 4 exons. The record is from RefSeq and is a predicted model, not a curated record.
CAUUCUGUGAUUACUUCUAAACUAGCUACUUUCCUUCAUUGCCCUAAAACAAUGAAGCUAUUAAUCUUGCCAUUUACUUUUCAAUUUCAUAAAAUCUAAUCAUUACUUUUUUCCUAAAAACAAAUUCUAUAGUGGUACAUCAAAACUAAGGUAUUUCAAAAGGGAGCUCAUUCCCAGAAUUAUCCCCAAAGUAUCUAAUUGGCUCCUGCAAGCGUAAGGAUGAUAAUUCUUCAAACUUCCAAAAUAUGCUAAGAUUUUUAGCAGUUCUACAAACUUAGAUUUCUGACUUUUUUUUCUAUGAAUCCAACAUACCUAAAGCUGAAAUGACAGGGGAAAAAAUGUCUUACAGGUUUUUUCUUUUUCCUCUUAUAUCCUAAUCUCUCGUGGAAAGCCUAAAAUAGGAAUUAGCCCUGCUUACUGGGACAAUACUUCAAUUGUAAAAGUCCAUUAAUCUUUCCCAGUGUUCUAAACUUUCUAGCUAUAGGCUGCAUUUUAAACCUUUCAGGAUAACAGAAUCUAGCUCACAACACAAACAUGAAAUGAACAUUUUACUAGCACAAAGAAAACAAGACAUAUGAAAACACACAGUUUUAACAAAGUGUGCCGUUACAAUCCAUACAGAGGCACAUGGGUUCAAUUUUACAGAGGCAUGCAGUUUAAAAGAAAAAAAAAAAAAGCAGAGGCAUGGAGAAAGACUGACCCAAGACAAACUGGAUUGCUGGAGGGACCCUAGAAUUUUCCUUACAAAAAAUGGCAAGCUGGACCAAGGCAGGACCUCAGAGGAUUGGAGCAGGGACAAGGGCAAAGGACUCACCAGUUUGGGGGGGGGCGGAGUAGGAGGACUCCAGGGAAAUAAAUCUCUGGUGGCACCUAGUUCAUUCCCACUGGUACUAGAGCGUCCAUUGGCCUGGUUCCAAGUCCAAUCCCACUUCUGACACUAAUUAAUGUCAACCAGAUGGAACUGGCCUCUAACCUGUGGGUGGCCAGAGCCAAAUAGAACAGGCUAGAGACAGGAGAGUCAGGAAUCAAACAGAAGUUUAAUUUCAAAGUGAGGGAGACGGUUUGCCAACAAGACCCCAUGUGCUAGGGCCCCACCCCUAGUGAGAGGACCCACUUUUGUGGGGCUGAACCUUGAUUUAUAUACUUAUGACUGACUAGACAAAGAGUCAAACAGUGUAGUGUAGCAACAGUAGUGAGGCACAACAGCAACAGUGAGUUAUAGCAGCCACAGUGAGGCAAGAUUGCCUAGUGACAAUAAGACCACUCACAGCAGGGCUUCGUGGCUGAGCCUGUCAGUGCUUGCCCAGGCUCAGGGACCAUCAGUUCCAAAAGUUCUCGAAAAGAAAAAUGACAUUACGAGGUGAUUGAGGUCUUAAGGUGCACAUGAACUGAACAUAAUUGAGGCAGAGCUGUGAAAGACGUCAGUCCUUACUUUUCCUUCCAGUCCAGUGGCAAGACAAAAUCAAGAUGACAGCAAUGUCCCAAGAUGCAGUCACUGACAGAAAUAUUGAGCAAUGCAAGGGGAAUCAAUCCCUAAAAAACUAGAUACGGAACAGAGUAACUGUCCAUUCAAGUAAGAGAAAAUAGGAAGGAAAUAAAGUCACAUAAAAUGUGUUUCACUCCCAGCAGUACAUAUUUCUACCCAAAGAAAUCAACCAGAUGCCAAGACAAAACAAUGGAGAGGAAAAAAGAACUAUUAGAAUUUCAUUAAUGGGAAAAUCUUCCCCAGAAAACAUCCAAAACCCAACAAAAGAGAAGAUCCAGUGCUCACAAAGGAAUUGAUUUGCUGAUGUUCUUUCAAAACAAAUGUCAAACUCAAUCAAACCUCUAAGGCGAGGUUGGAUAAAAAGAAAAUCCCAACAGAAAGAAAAAAAAGUAGACAAAAAAAUAGAGUCCAUUUUGGGGCCCUUUAAAUAAUCUACCACAGAAUUGGAUUUCUACUCCAAGUAGAAUAUACAGA